This 441-nucleotide ribosomal RNA is filed under the name uncultured bacterium. RNAcentral describes it as "bacterial SSU rRNA". It matches the Rfam family "Bacterial small subunit ribosomal RNA", at positions 958 to 1399 of the family's 1533-position model. The record is from RNAcentral.
AACGCGAAGAACCUUACCUGGGCUCGAAAUGGAGUGGACCGGAGUAGAAAUAUUCCUUCCCCGCAAGGGGCUGCUCUAUAGGUGCUGCAUGGCUGUCGUCAGCUCGUGUCGUGAGAUGUUGGGUUAAGUCCCGCAACGAGCGCAACCCUUAUUACCAGUUGCCAUCAUUCAGUUGGGCACUCAGGUGAGACCGCCUCGGAUAACGGGGAGGAAGGCGGGGAUGACGUCAAGUCCUCAUGGCCUUUAUGUCCAGGGCUACACACGUGCUACAAUGGCCGGUACAAACCGUCGCAAACCCGUGAGGGGGAGCUAAUCGGAAAAAGCCGGCCUCAGUUCGGAUUGGAGUCUGCAACUCGACUCCAUGAAGCUGGAAUCGCUAGUAAUCGCGGAUCAGAACGCCGCGGUGAAUACGUUCCCGGGCCUUGUACACACCGACUGUAC